ACGGGGGGGGCAAGCGUUGUUCGGAAUUACUGGGCGUAAAGGGUUUGUAGGUGGCCCGCUAAGUCACACGUGAAAUCCCUCAGCUUAACUGGGGAACUGCGUGUGAGACUGGCAGGCUCGAGGGCAGGAGAGGAACGCGGAAUUCCAGGUGUAGCGGUGAAAUGCGUAGAUAUCUGGAGGAACACCCAUGGCGAAGGCAGGUUACUGGGCAUUAUCUGACGCUGAGGCGCGAAAGCGUGGGUAGCAAACAGGA
RNAcentral lists this ribosomal RNA (253 nucleotides) under uncultured prokaryote. RNAcentral describes it as "partial 16S ribosomal RNA". It matches the Rfam family "Bacterial small subunit ribosomal RNA", at positions 525 to 777 of the family's 1533-position model. The record is from RNAcentral.